Pelobates cultripes (western spadefoot toad) is the source of this 233-nucleotide non-coding RNA. The record is from the annotation of a GenBank genome assembly. NCBI's taxonomy places the organism in Eukaryota, Metazoa, Chordata, Amphibia, Anura, Pelobatidae.
CAGAUUCAAAAUAUGCCUUUUGAAUUAUUCUGGGGUGUUUUCUUUAAUAAAUAGUAUGUGUUUGUGGGGAAGUUUGAAUAACCAACCAGCUAAACUACUCCGAAACGAAACAUGGACAAAGCGUAAAACUUCACAGUUAGAAAAAAACUGAAUGGCUGCGUCUCAAAUGUGCCCCUCCAACAUGCACAUACACCUGGCAAAGGUACAUACGGGUAUUGUUGUACACAGAUGAC